AAAAAGAAGAGAUGCUCUCUGUGUGAAAGAAAAAUGAAAAUGAGAAAAGGUGGCAACACAAGAGAUGGAUAUCGCUGGGUGUGUCGAAGACAUAAUAGAUUCAUGUCCAAAUCCAUAAGAGAUGGGUCUAUUUUCUCAGGCUCUCGCUCCUCCUUGACUUCUUGGAUGAUGUUCAUGCAUAGGUUUGCACAAGGGCUAAGACUGAGGCAAGUGGACUUAAUUGAAGAGGGAGUCUGUGGAAGCAGCCGCACUUUGUCCAAGAUGUCCAAGACACUAAGGAGGGUGUGUGUGCAAGCAGUUAAGCACCUGAAGAGGAGGGGGAAAAUGAGAAUAGGUGGAAGACAUGGUUUUGUUGUCAUUGAUGAGAGCAAGUUUUGUCACAAGAGAAAGUAUGCACGCGGGCGAUUUGGUGCUACUUGGCGCAGGAGAGGCUGGGUUUUUGGAUUGUUGGAAGUCAAUCAACGGAGAAGGAGGCCUGUGUUGAAAUUUGUUCGCAGACGAAAUUCUGAAAGACUACUUCCUAUUAUACAGCGAUAUGUUAGACCUGCAAGUAC
Long non-coding RNA from Archocentrus centrarchus (flier cichlid), 554 nucleotides. RefSeq lists it as uncharacterized. The transcript has 4 exons. The record is from RefSeq and is a predicted model, not a curated record. NCBI's taxonomy places the organism in Eukaryota, Metazoa, Chordata, Actinopteri, Cichliformes, Cichlidae.